UUGAACGCUGGCGGCAUGCCUUACACAUGCAAGUCGAACGGUAACAGGUCUUCGGAUGCUGACGAGUGGCGAACGGGUGAGUAAUACAUCGGAACGUGCCCGAUCGUGGGGGAUAACGCAGCGAAAGCUGUGCUAAUACCGCAUACGAUCUACGGAUGAAAGCGGGGGAUCGCAAGACCUCGCGCGGACGGAGCGGCCGAUGGCAGAUUAGGUAGUUGGUGGUAUAAAAGCUUACCAAGCCGACGAUCUGUAGCUGGUCUGAGAGGACGACCAGCCACACUGGGACUGAGACACGGCCCAGACUCCUACGGGAGGCAGAAGUGGGGAAUUUUGGACAAUGGGCGAAAGCCUGAUCCAGCCAUGCCGCGUGCAGGAUGAAGGCCUUCGGGUUGUAAACUGCUUUUGUACGGAACGAAAAAGUCUUCUCUAAUACAGGGGGCGAAUGACGGUACCGUAAGAAUAAGCACCGGCUAACUACGU
RNAcentral lists this ribosomal RNA (480 nucleotides) under uncultured bacterium. Its description in RNAcentral is "bacterial SSU rRNA". It matches the Rfam family "Bacterial small subunit ribosomal RNA", at positions 30 to 506 of the family's 1533-position model. The record is from RNAcentral.